GAGAAUGCAGAAAUGGAUGC
RNAcentral lists this microRNA (20 nucleotides) under Populus tomentosa. Its description in RNAcentral is "Pto-N5". Lineage: Eukaryota; Viridiplantae; Streptophyta; Magnoliopsida; Malpighiales; Salicaceae. The record is from RNAcentral.